ACGGAAGGCAGCAGUGGGGAAUAUUGCACAAUGGGGGAAACCCUGAUGCAGCGACGCCGCGUGAGUGAAGAGGUAUUUCGGUAUGUAAAGCUCUAUCAGCAGGAAAGAAAAUGACGGUACCUGACUAAGAAGCCCCGGCUAACUACGUGCCAGCAGCCGCGGUAAUACGUAGGGGGCAAGCGUUAUCCGGAUUUACUGGGUGUAAAGGGAGCGUAGACGGCUUUGCAAGUCUGAAGUGAAAGCCCGGGGCUCAACCCCGGAACUGCUUUGGAAACUGUAGAGCUGGAGUGCAGGAGAGGUAAGUGGAAUUCCUAGUGUAGCGGUGAAAUGCGUAGGUAUUAGGAGGAACACCAGUGGCGAAGGCGGCUUACUGGACUGUAACUGACGUUGAGGCUCGAAGGCGUGGGGAGCAAACAGGAUUAGAUACCCUGGUA
This 434-nucleotide ribosomal RNA is filed under the name uncultured Clostridium sp. Its description in RNAcentral is "partial 16S ribosomal RNA". It matches the Rfam family "Bacterial small subunit ribosomal RNA", at positions 341 to 792 of the family's 1533-position model. Lineage: Bacteria; Bacillati; Bacillota; Clostridia; Eubacteriales; Clostridiaceae. The record is from RNAcentral.